UACGUAGGGGGCAAGCGUUGUCCGGAUUUAUUGGGCGUAAAGAGCUCGUAGGCGGCUUGUCGCGUCGACUGUGAAAACCCGCGGCUCAACUGUGGGCUUGCAGUCGAUACGGGCAGGCUGGAGUUCGGUAGGGGAGACUGGAAUUCCUGGUGUAGCGGUGAAAUGCGUAGAGAUCAGGAGGAAUACCGGUGGCGAAAGCGACUCUCUGGACGGCAACUGACGCUGAGGCACGAAAGCGUGGGGAGCAAACAGG
RNAcentral lists this ribosomal RNA (253 nucleotides) under uncultured bacterium. RNAcentral describes it as "partial 16S ribosomal RNA". It matches the Rfam family "Bacterial small subunit ribosomal RNA", at positions 524 to 776 of the family's 1533-position model. The record is from RNAcentral.